Molecule: long non-coding RNA, 883 nt
Organism: Taeniopygia guttata (zebra finch)
Lineage: Eukaryota; Metazoa; Chordata; Aves; Passeriformes; Estrildidae
Source: Ensembl
GGGGCUCAGAGCAACCUGGUGUAGUGAAAGGUGUUCCUGCCUAUGACAGGAGGGUUGGAUCCUUUAGGUCCCUUCCAACGCAAACCAUUCUAUGAUUCUAUGAUGUGACCUCAGUCUCUUCACUCAUUCCAGUUACCUGCUGAAAGCCCUGUCCAUGCUGCCUCACUUCAGCUUGGACAGCACUUUCCAGUUUGGCUUCCUGACAACCUUCUGCAUCAAGUGGCCUGCAUUCAUCAGCAUUGUGUCUGAUUUUCAUCAGGUUCCUCUCUGAAGCCUAUUCCUCCUGGCUGUUACCCAGAAGUUGGGCAACAGUUGCUGUUCUUUCCUGUUCCUUUCCCUGCUAUUACAAGAUGUCUGGAUCCAUCUUUUGAUCUGCCACAAAUGACACCUGAGCAAAGAUGACCUGGUUGUGGUCCACAUUUCUACUUGUCAUGCAUCAGUAGUACACCAGGGCAGAACAGCCUUUAUUUGCCCCGGAGCCUGCAGGGGAUCCAAGCCCCGGAGCCUGAAGGGGAUCCGAGCCCCGGAGCCUGCAGGGGAUCCAAGCCCCAGAUCCUGUUCCCGAUCCCCGCCCAGCGGACUCUGCCGGGAGCUGCUGACCCGGACUGGCUGCAGGACCGUGUGCUUGCUCAUCUCUCGGGCACCAAGGGCAGCGAGUGGAGCUAGAAGGGUUCAGGCACAAGAACACUUUGGGCUUUUAGCUGGGGCUGUCCUGGUGUGGUUGGCACCACAGAGACAGAAGAUAAUGAAGGGCAUUGCCCCAAAGAGCCUUUGGUCAGAGAUCCCAAAGGUCCAGUACAUCGCACUGAAAGGUGAUGUACCAUUGCUCUGAUUUUACACACAUGGUUAAAUUUCCCUCUUUUCUCCUGUUUCAUAUGAAGCA